GGCGCCAUAGCCAAGUGGUAAGGCAGAGGUCUGCAAAACCUUCACCCCCAGUUCGAGUCUGGGUGGCGCCUCCA
RNAcentral lists this transfer RNA (74 nucleotides) under Clostridia bacterium. Its description in RNAcentral is "tRNA-Cys". It matches the Rfam family "tRNA". Rfam says of the family: Transfer RNA (tRNA) molecules are approximately 80 nucleotides in length. Their secondary structure includes four short double-helical elements and three loops (D, anti-codon, and T loops). Further hydrogen bonds mediate the characteristic L-shaped molecular structure. tRNAs have two regions of fundamental functional importance: the anti-codon, which is responsible for specific mRNA codon recognition, and the 3' end, to which the tRNAs corresponding amino acid is attached (by aminoacyl-tRNA synthetases). tRNAs cope with the degeneracy of the genetic code in two manners: having more than one tRNA (with a specific anti-codon) for a particular amino acid; and 'wobble' base-pairing, i.e. permitting non-standard base-pairing at the 3rd anti-codon position. RNAcentral also lists the same sequence under 1 other name. The record is from RNAcentral. Lineage: Bacteria; Bacillati; Bacillota; Clostridia.